AUUGAACGCUGGCGGCAGGCCUAACACAUGCAAGUCGAGCGGAUGAAGGGAGCUUGCUCCUGGAUUCAGCGGCGGACGGGUGAGUAAUGCCUAGGAAUCUGCCUGGUAGUGGGGGAUAACGUCCGGAAACGGGCGCUAAUACCGCAUACGUCCUGAGGGAGAAAGUGGGGGAUCUUCGGACCUCACGCUAUCAGAUGAGCCUAGGUCGGAUUAGCUAGUUGGUGGGGUAAAGGCCUACCAAGGCGACGAUCCGUAACUGGUCUGAGAGGAUGAUCAGUCACACUGGAACUGAGACACGGUCCCGACUCCUACGGGAGGCAGCAGUGGGGAAUAUUGGACGAUGGGCGAAAGCCUGAUCCAGCCAUGCCGCGUGUGUGAAGAAGGUCUUCGGAUUGUAAAGCACUUUAAGUUGGGAGGAAGGGCAGUAAGUUAAUACCUUGCUGUUUUGACGUUACCAACAGAAUAAGCAACGGCUAACUUCGUG
Molecule: ribosomal RNA, 484 nt
Filed under: uncultured bacterium
Lineage: Bacteria
Description: partial 16S ribosomal RNA
Rfam family: Bacterial small subunit ribosomal RNA
Source: RNAcentral